AGGACAGUAGCUCAGUUGGUAGAGCAUCGGUCUCCAAAACCGAAGGUCGCAGGUUCGACCCCUGUCUGCCCUGCCA
Molecule: transfer RNA, 76 nt
Filed under: SAR324 cluster bacterium
Lineage: Bacteria; Deltaproteobacteria
Description: tRNA-Trp
Rfam family: tRNA
About the family: Transfer RNA (tRNA) molecules are approximately 80 nucleotides in length. Their secondary structure includes four short double-helical elements and three loops (D, anti-codon, and T loops).
Source: RNAcentral